This 1103-nucleotide long non-coding RNA is filed under the name Dromaius novaehollandiae (emu). Its description in RNAcentral is "lncRNA (ENSDNVG00000017496.1)". Lineage: Eukaryota; Metazoa; Chordata; Aves; Casuariiformes; Dromaiidae. The record is from RNAcentral.
CGGGGGGCUCCCAGGCCCCGUGGGGGGGGUCCCGGGCCCCCGGGGCCGGGGGGACUCACUGGUGUCGCUCCAGAGGAGGUGGCUGCUGAGGCUGCUGCUGCUGCCCAGCGUUUUGGAGCCGGAGGCGGAUUUCCAGGUGCCCGAGAGCCAGGGCGAGUCGCCGGCCUCCAGCCUGCGGGGACAAGGAGGUCUCGGGACGCCGCUCCCGCCGCCCCGGGGUGCCCCAGCCCGGCCCCCCCCCGUCUCUCCUUGCUCACCUCUGCCGGGCCACCGCGUCCUCGCCGGCGYGGCAGCACAGACCUGCGGAGACGGGCACGGGGGUGACUCCUGGGCGGCACGCGGCGGGUGCCGAGGGGGGUCCACGGUUGGUCCCCGCCGACCCUCCGGGCUCACCUUUGCCGCGGCGGCCGCCGGCGCGGCGCUGGCGCUGGCACAGGUGGACCAGGAAGGCCAGGAGGGUCACCCAGAGCAGGGCGCCGGCGCCGGCGACGAGGGCGGCCAAGGGCAUCGCCUCGGGGCCCCGCGCCACCGCCUCCAGGAGCGGCUCUGCGGGGGGCCACGGUGUUACCCCCCCCACCGGGAUGCGAUGCCGCGGAGGGAUCCCCUUCCUUCCCUGCGCCCCGUCACCUACCCGGGACGCCGCAGGUGACAUUGCUGGGCACCCCCAGCCCCGCGCCGUUGAAAGCUGCCACCUGGAUGCAGUACGUGGCCCCGGGGCCCGGCGGGAGGGUUUCCAAGCGGUGGGUGCCUCCAUCGACUGUCCUGGUGGGGUGGUGAGAGCCGUUGCCCAGGGACCAGACCUGCCGGGCACGGAGAGGCAACUGGCACUCGCCCUUGCUCCUGUCCCGCGCCGUGCACGGGUGUCCCCUUGGAUGGGCACCCUGUCCUUGGAUGGAUCCUUUUGGAUGGCCCCGUGGGUGGGUCCCUUUGGGUAGACCCUCCUUGGGUGGAUCAUCUYGGAUGGAUCCCCUGGGAUGGACAUCCACCUUGUGUGGACCCUUGCAUGGACCCCCUUGGCUGGCCCCRCCUCGGAUGGAUCCUUUGGUCGGAUUCCACACGGAUAGGCUCCUUCAGUGGAUCCCUCUUGGACAGACCCUCCCUUG